UACGAAGGGUGCAAACGUUGCUCGGAAUCAUUGGGCGUAAAGCGCACGUAGGCGGCCUUGCAAGUCGGAUGUGAAAUCCCACGGCUCAACCGUGGACGUGCAUCCGAAACUGCUCGGCUCGAGUAUGGAAGAGGGUCGCGGAAUUCCCGGUGUAGAGGUGAAAUUCGUAGAUAUCUGGAGGAACACCGGUGGCGAAGGCGGCAUCCUGGGUCGGAAUUGACGCUGAGGAGCGAAAGCCAGGGGAGCAAACGGG
RNAcentral lists this ribosomal RNA (253 nucleotides) under uncultured bacterium. RNAcentral's name for it is "partial 16S ribosomal RNA". It matches the Rfam family "Bacterial small subunit ribosomal RNA", at positions 524 to 776 of the family's 1533-position model. The record is from RNAcentral.